Girardinichthys multiradiatus is the source of this 310-nucleotide long non-coding RNA. RefSeq lists it as uncharacterized. The transcript has 3 exons. Lineage: Eukaryota; Metazoa; Chordata; Actinopteri; Cyprinodontiformes; Goodeidae. The record is from RefSeq and is a predicted model, not a curated record.
UUUCAGCAUCCUGUUACAACAGAAGAAUGUCCCGUCUGUGAAGCCCCAUAUUAUCGAAUAUAAUUAUUGUGAUUUAGUCAUCAGCUCGCCGGGUUCAUUUGAGCUAGGUUCUGAAUCUUGGUCUACACCUCCUCUAACCCAAUGACCGCUGGAUAUGGAAACGAGCCCCCCAUUGCGACCCAGCAAGGAUGAGCUGGUAUUGGCAAAGGAUGGAUGGGUGGAUUCCUGAUGCCAUGACAUCUCAAAUAAUCAGGAAAAUCAACCGGAAAGGGAAUGUACCAACGCCGACGGCUGUCCCAAUUCAUGAAUC